RNAcentral lists this ribosomal RNA (406 nucleotides) under uncultured bacterium. Its description in RNAcentral is "partial 16S ribosomal RNA". It matches the Rfam family "Bacterial small subunit ribosomal RNA", at positions 29 to 526 of the family's 1533-position model. The record is from RNAcentral.
AUUGAACGCUGGCGGCAGGCCUAACACAUGCAAGUCGAACGAGUCGCGGACGGGUGAGUAAUGUCUGGGAACCUGCCUGAUGGAGGGUGAUAACUCCUGGAAACGGUAGCUAAUACCGCAUACCCUCAGAUGUGCCCAGAUGGGAGUAGCUUGUUGGUGGGGUAACGGCGCACCAAGGCGGCGAUCCCUAGCUGGUCUGAGAGGUUGACCAGACACACUGGACCUGAGACACGGUCCAGACUCCUACGGGAGGCAGCAGUGGGGAAUAGUGCACAAUGGGCGCAAGCCUGAUGCAGCCAUGCGGGGUGUAUGAAGAAGGCGUUCGGGUUGUAAAGUACUGGAAGCGGGGAGGCGUUACCCGCAGAAGAAGCACGGGCUAACUCCGUUCCAGCAGCCGAGGGAAUAC